This is a small nucleolar RNA of Oryctolagus cuniculus (rabbit), 118 nucleotides long. The record is from Ensembl. NCBI's taxonomy places the organism in Eukaryota, Metazoa, Chordata, Mammalia, Lagomorpha, Leporidae.
UGCAAAGGAAUUUCCCAGGAUUAAAAUAUAAAUUGAGUGCAAUAGAAAUUCAGUAUCUGGCAUUGUUGGUUUUCUUGGCUUUGUGCAUGUUAAACCUGGUAUUUCUGUUGAUACAGUA